GUUAAGCGACUAAGCGUACACGGUGGAUGCCCUGGCAGUCAGAGGCGAUGAAGGACGUGCUAAUCUGCGAUAAGCGUCGGUAAGGUGAUAUGAACCGUUAUAACCGGCGAUUUCCGAAUGGGGAAACCCAGUGUGUUUCGACACACUAUCAUUAACUGAAUCCAUAGGUUAAUGAGGCGAACCGGGGGAACUGAAACAUCUAAGUACCCCGAGGAAAAGAAAUCAACCGAGAUUCCCCCAGUAGCGGCGAGCGAACGGGGAGCAGCCCAGAGCCUGAAUCAGUGUGUGUGUUAGUGGAAGCGUCUGGAAAGGCGCGCGAUACAGGGUGACAGCCCCGUACACAAAAAUGCACAUGCUGUGAGCUCGAUGAGUAGGGCGGGACACGUGGUAUCCUGUCUGAAUAUGGGGGGACCAUCCUCCAAGGCUAAAUACUCCUGACUGACCGAUAGUGAACCAGUACCGUGAGGGAAAGGCGAAAAGAACCCCGGCGAGGGGAGUGAAAAAGAACCUGAAACCGUGUACGUACAAGCAGUGGGAGCACGCUUCGGCGUGUGACUGCGUACCUUUUGUAUAAUGGGUCAGCGACUUAUAUUCUGUAGCAAGGUUAACCGAAUAGGGGAGCCGAAGGGAAACCGAGUCUUAACUGGGCGUUAAGUUGCAGGGUAUAGACCCGAAACCCGGUGAUCUAGCCAUGGGCAGGUUGAAGGUUGGGUAACACUAACUGGAGGACCGAACCGACUAAUGUUGAAAAAUUAGCGGAUGACUUGUGGCUGGGGGUGAAAGGCCAAUCAAACCGGGAGAUAGCUGGUUCUCCCCGAAAGCUAUUUAGGUAGCGCCUCGUGAAUUCAUCUCCGGGGGUAGAGCACUGUUUCGGCAAGGGGGUCAUCCCGACUUACCAACCCGAUGCAAACUGCGAAUACCGGAGAAUGUUAUCACGGGAGACACACGGCGGGUGCUAACGUCCGUCGUGAAGAGGGAAACAACCCAGACCGCCAGCUAAGGUCCCAAAGUCAUGGUUAAGUGGGAAACGAUGUGGGAAGGCCCAGACAGCCAGGAUGUUGGCUUAGAAGCAGCCAUCAUUUAAAGAAAGCGUAAUAGCUCACUGGUCGAGUCGGCCUGCGCGGAAGAUGUAACGGGGCUAAACCAUGCACCGAAGCUGCGGCAGCGACGCUGAUGCGUUGUUGGGUA
RNAcentral lists this ribosomal RNA (1188 nucleotides) under Escherichia coli. RNAcentral describes it as "partial 23S ribosomal RNA". It matches the Rfam family "Bacterial large subunit ribosomal RNA", at positions 1 to 1230 of the family's 2925-position model. Lineage: Bacteria; Pseudomonadati; Pseudomonadota; Gammaproteobacteria; Enterobacterales; Enterobacteriaceae. The record is from RNAcentral.